UGCCAGCCGCCGCGGUAAUACGUAAGGGGCAAGCGUUAUCCGGAUUUAUUGGGCAUAAAGGGCGCGUAGGUGGUCUUUUAAGUAAGUUGUUAAAGGCAUCGGCUCAACCGAUGUUUGCAUCUUAAACUGAAAGACUAGAGGACAGUAGAGGAAAGCGGAACUCAUAGUGUAGCGGUGAAAUGCGUAGAUAUUAUGAGGAACACCAGUUGCGAAGGCGGCUUUCUGGCCUGAUCCUGACACUGAGGCGCGAAAGCGUGGGGAGCGAACGGGAUUAGAUA
Molecule: ribosomal RNA, 278 nt
Filed under: uncultured bacterium
Lineage: Bacteria
Description: partial 16S ribosomal RNA
Rfam family: Bacterial small subunit ribosomal RNA
Source: RNAcentral